AUGUCGGAGUUAUUGAACAAAGAGCAGAUCCUCAUGCCCCAUCAGAAGCAAACAGCUCAGAGUGUGGUGGACCGGUGCCGGGCCUGUCAGGUGCAGCUGCAGGAGGUGGGCCCAGGACUGGUGCAGCCCUCACAGGCCCUGUCUCUCACCUGCAUAGCCUCUGGAUUCUCUUUAACCAGCUAUCAUAUGAACUGGGCCCGGCAAGCCCCAGGAAAAGGGCUAGAGUGGGUAGGUGUGAUAUGGGGUGAUGGAAACACAAAUUAUAACCCAACAUUGGCAUCCCGACUCAGCAUCAUCAGGGACACUUCCAAGAGCCAAGUUUAUUUAAAGCUGAACUCUGUGACUGAGAAAGACACGGCCAUGUAUUACUGUGCGAGACACACA
Non-coding RNA from Orycteropus afer afer, 384 nucleotides. Lineage: Eukaryota; Metazoa; Chordata; Mammalia; Tubulidentata; Orycteropodidae. The record is from the annotation of a RefSeq genome assembly.